This 440-nucleotide ribosomal RNA is filed under the name uncultured bacterium. RNAcentral describes it as "bacterial SSU rRNA". It matches the Rfam family "Bacterial small subunit ribosomal RNA", at positions 338 to 795 of the family's 1533-position model. The record is from RNAcentral.
CCUACGGGGGGCAGCAGUAGGGAAUCUUCCGCAAUGGAGGAAACUCUGAUGCAGCGACGCCGCGUGAGCGAUGAAGCCCUUCGGGGUGUAAAGCUCUUUCGACAGGAACGAUAAUGACGGUACCUGGAGAAGAAGCUGCGGCUAACUACGUGCCAGCAGCCGCGGUAAUACGUAGGCAGCAAGCGUUGUUCGGAAUUACUGGGCGUAAAGAGUGUGUAGGCGGUGCUCUAAGUUCGGUGUGAAAUCUCCCGGCUUAACUGGGAGGGUGCGCCGGAAACUGGAGUGCUCGAGCGCGGGAGAGGAAAGCGGAAUUCCUGGUGUAGCGGUGAAAUGCGUAGAUAUCAGGAGGAACACCUGCGGUGUAGACGGCUUACUGGACGGUAACUGACGCUGAGGCACGAAAGCGUGGGUAGCAAACAGGAUUAGAUACCCUUGUAGUC